GAUGAACGCUGGCGGCGUGCUUAAUACAUGCAAGUCGAACGAGGUUACUUAUUACGAUCCCUUCGGGGUGACGAUUUUUAACCGAGUGGCGGACGGGUGAGUAACGCGUGGGCAACCUGCCCCAUACAGGGGGAUAACAGUUGGAAACGACUGACAGUACCGCAUAAGCGCACGAUCUCGCAUGGGAUUGUGUGAAAAACUCCGGUGGUAUGGGAUGGGCCCGCGUCUGAUUAGCUAGUUGGUGAGGUAACGGCCCACCAAGGCGACGAUCAGUAGCCGACCUGAGAGGGUGACCGGCCACAUUGGGACUGAGACACGGCCCAA
RNAcentral lists this ribosomal RNA (324 nucleotides) under uncultured bacterium. RNAcentral's name for it is "bacterial SSU rRNA". It matches the Rfam family "Bacterial small subunit ribosomal RNA", at positions 28 to 334 of the family's 1533-position model. The record is from RNAcentral.